RNAcentral lists this transfer RNA (77 nucleotides) under Azoarcus sp. RNAcentral describes it as "tRNA-Met". It matches the Rfam family "tRNA". From Rfam's summary of the family: Transfer RNA (tRNA) molecules are approximately 80 nucleotides in length. Their secondary structure includes four short double-helical elements and three loops (D, anti-codon, and T loops). The record is from RNAcentral. Lineage: Bacteria; Pseudomonadati; Pseudomonadota; Betaproteobacteria; Rhodocyclales; Zoogloeaceae.
GGUGAUGUAGCUCAGACGGUUAGAGCGGUGGAUUCAUAACCCACAGGUCGGUGGUUCAAUUCCACCCAUCACCACCA